Molecule: long non-coding RNA, 905 nt
Organism: Diabrotica virgifera virgifera (western corn rootworm)
Lineage: Eukaryota; Metazoa; Arthropoda; Insecta; Coleoptera; Chrysomelidae
Exons: 3
Source: RefSeq, a predicted model, not a curated record
UUAAACAACAAAGGUUUUAUGCUACUUAUAGGAAUAUAACCAGUUUUUAUAAGGAAACCCACUUUCCAAAAAUGUACAGGUACUAGAAGAGAAAUUAUGUAUAUUAUUGUAUUGUUCAACAACAAGGUUAUCAAGUCAUUCAAUAUUUGAUCUAAGAGCAUUAAGAGUGAAAUUGUGAAAUGGAAAGAAGUGAAAUUCCAGGAUUAUUAAUAGGAAUAGAUGACAGUAGUGGGUAUGCAUGCAGACACUAUCUACUUACCCCAGUAUUACAGCCAGGUAAUGAUCAAGAAAAUAAGAUAUUUUUACCAUAGUACUCAUGUGAGAACAAGAAAUGUAGAAAAGGUGUUUGGAACCUGGAAAGAUGAGGUAUGCCCUGUAUUGUUCAAAAUUAUAUUUCAUAUGCUUCCAUCCUUCCUCUUAGAACGUGGUCCUAUUAUGAAUGUAUAUGGAUCGUGGUAUGCCCUGUAUAGUUCAAAAUUAUAUUUCAUAUGCUUCCAUCCUUCCUCUUAGAACGUGGUCCUAUUUUGAUGAAUGUAUAUGGAUCGUGGUAUGCCCUGUAUAGUUCAAAAUUAUAUCUUCUCUGGUCUUCAUAUUUUAGAUGCUAUUUAGCCUGAUUCUAGUGCUUUAUCGUUAUUUCCAGUGCUUUAUCAAUUUAUCAUCAUUUAUUUUACCUACCUGUCUACUGCUACUCUACUAUUGUACUUUCACCAUAUAUUUUUGGAAUAUAAAUAUAUAGUAACCUUCUGUCUUUCUCUUGUUCAACUGGAAUUUGUUUAUUUAUUCUGAGAAUACAUUAUUGAAUCUGUAUUAUGUUAGAUAUAUUAUUUUUUAUUUUAUUUCUUAAUAUGUAUUUUUUAUAUUUUAUUUUAAAAUAAAUGAGUAUGAGUUUCCCUCUUCUUAAAUAA